CCCUUAGAUGUUCUGGGCCGCACGCGCGCUACACUGACUGGUGCAACAAGUGUCGCUCCUUGGCCGAUAGGCCUGGGCAAUCUUUGAACGCCAGUCGUGAUGGGGAUAGAUUCUUGCAAUUUUUAAUCUUCAACGAGGAAUGCCUAGUAAGCGCAAGUCAUCAGCUUGCGUUGAUUACGUCCCUGCCCUUUGUACACACCGCCCGUCGCUCCUACCGAUUGAAUGGUCCGGUGAAGCGUUCGGACCGUGGCCUUUGGACGGUUCGCCGUCUGUUGGCUGCGGGAAGUUCGUUAAACCUUAUCAUUUAGAGGAAGGAGAAGUCGUAACA
RNAcentral lists this ribosomal RNA (328 nucleotides) under uncultured eukaryote. RNAcentral describes it as "partial 18S ribosomal RNA". It matches the Rfam family "Eukaryotic small subunit ribosomal RNA", at positions 1470 to 1796 of the family's 1831-position model. The record is from RNAcentral.